This 65-nucleotide transfer RNA is filed under the name Tarbinskiellus portentosus. RNAcentral's name for it is "tRNA-Tyr". It matches the Rfam family "tRNA". From Rfam's summary of the family: Transfer RNA (tRNA) molecules are approximately 80 nucleotides in length. The record is from RNAcentral. Lineage: Eukaryota; Metazoa; Arthropoda; Insecta; Orthoptera; Gryllidae. RNAcentral also lists the same sequence under 1 other name.
GAUGAAGUGGCUGAAGUUUAGGCGAUAGAUUGUAAAUCUUUUUAUGGAUUCAAAUCCCUUUAUCA